Molecule: long non-coding RNA, 589 nt
Organism: Poecilia latipinna (sailfin molly)
Lineage: Eukaryota; Metazoa; Chordata; Actinopteri; Cyprinodontiformes; Poeciliidae
Exons: 4
Source: RefSeq, a predicted model, not a curated record
GUGUUUAUGAGCCAGAACAACUGCAUUUUUCACCCAUAGUUUCACUCAGGCAUCUAGAUUAGCAAUUUCUGUUUACAACGAGUUAAAAUGUCAUGAAGUUCAUCCUCUUAGGCAAUAAUUACCUGCCUGCCUUGCUAACAUGCUUAAAUUGUGUGUUGUUGCGUUGCUUGAUAGCUCAAAGAAGUCCGCAGGGAAGUGGAGCUGUCCCGCAGGAGGAGCAUCAAGCUGAAGGCUCAGGUGGACAAACUGCAGGGAAGCACCGACGGACCCGGCUGGAGUCAGCACCGAGAGAGGGUCACAGACGAGGUUCUGUCGGUUCUAAGGCUGCUGCAGCCGCUGAUCGCGUCAGAAUCCGGCCGACCCGAGCCACGAGGCGGGGAGAACCGCCUGGACUCUGCCCUGUCGGAGCUGAAGAAUGUGGCUCGACAGCUGGCAAUCAGCCAUACCAAGCAUGAUUCAAAAUCUGGAGUAAGUGGAGCAGAGGAGAGUGCUGUCCUGCAGCAGGCUCUGAGGGACAGAGACGAGGCCAUAGAGAAGAAGAAGGCGAUGGAGGGCGAGGUGCUACGGAGUAAGACGGAGAUGAUGGCGC